GCCCCCGUAGCUCAGGGGAUAGAGCGCUGGCCUCCGGAGCCAGAGACCCGCGUUCGAAUCGCGGCGGGGGCA
RNAcentral lists this transfer RNA (72 nucleotides) under Chloroflexota bacterium. RNAcentral describes it as "Chloroflexi bacterium (hydrothermal vent metagenome) tRNA-Arg". It matches the Rfam family "tRNA". Rfam says of the family: Transfer RNA (tRNA) molecules are approximately 80 nucleotides in length. Their secondary structure includes four short double-helical elements and three loops (D, anti-codon, and T loops). Further hydrogen bonds mediate the characteristic L-shaped molecular structure. tRNAs have two regions of fundamental functional importance: the anti-codon, which is responsible for specific mRNA codon recognition, and the 3' end, to which the tRNAs corresponding amino acid is attached (by aminoacyl-tRNA synthetases). tRNAs cope with the degeneracy of the genetic code in two manners: having more than one tRNA (with a specific anti-codon) for a particular amino acid; and 'wobble' base-pairing, i.e. permitting non-standard base-pairing at the 3rd anti-codon position. RNAcentral also lists the same sequence under 1 other name. The record is from RNAcentral. Lineage: Bacteria; Bacillati; Chloroflexota.